UUUUUUUUUUCUUUUUACAGCUGCACCUGUGGCAUAUGGAAGUUCCCAGGCUAGAGGUCUAAUCAGAGCUGCAGCCACAGCAAUGAUGGAUCCGAGCCACAUCUAUGACCUAAGAGGCAGCUUACAGCAGUGCUGGAUGCUUAACCCACUGAGCAAAGCCAGGCAUUGAACCCACAUCCUCAUGGACACUGUCAAGUUCUUAACCUGGCAAGCCAUGAUAGGAACUCCCUUUACCACUUUUUAAUAGAUAGAUGAUUCUUGCCUUUGAAAAUAUUUCAAUUAGAUCAAUGUUUCUGAUGGAAGCUUCUAAGCCAAAAUAUCUUUCUAUUUCUAUGUUAUGUGACCAAAAUUAAAGCUCAUUUAAAUGGAGUUAAAAUAUUUCAAUAAUGUAUACUCUGUUGGAGGAUUCAAAUAUGUCUCUCCUUCUCAGUGAUAAAAUCAUAUUUUUCAGAUUAGGACAGACUUGGAAUCGACCAAUAGCCAGUCAAAAAGCACAGGUCUGGUAGGAAAAUAGGGUGGAAAGAAAGUGGUGAAAUACCCUUGAAGAGCUUCCAUGUUGAGUCUGUUCUUUGCAACUACAAAAAUCACGUGCCUUAGUGAACAGUUCCUGCUCUUACACACACCUGCUUUAGUUCAAUUCAGAAAAGUUUCCUGGCAAAAAGAACAGGCUGUGUUAUUAAUUCAAUAAAUCACCAUCCUAUUUGCAUACACACAAAAUGUAUCUCAUACAGCAUGUUGAGACAUCAGACCUAAUUAAAAUAUUAUUUAAUUGAAAUCAUUUUAGUAGUUAUCAUGUUUAAAAUAACAUUAAUUCCACCCUCAUGCCUAUCUUCUCUCAUCUGUAACAAUUUGGAUCUUAUAAAUGUAGCACAUACAGUCAUCCUGACCCACACACAACACAAAGAGACUGCUAAAAGGAAAGUGUAAUACAUUAUUGAUGACACUAAUGAAAUUACAACACACAUCACUCAUUUUAAUGGGUCUGUUUCAAUGACACAUCACGGUGACCAGGAAAGAGCAGCACCAAACUCAGAAACCUAAUUAAUAACUCCCAGCAGCAUCAGUGAAGGAGAUGAAGCAUCUUUGCUCAACUGACAAAUCUUUUCCACUCAGCUAAAGCAAAGGAAAACUAAAGAAAAUGAAUUUUGAAACAAAGGCAUCAAAAGUCUUCAUGAGUCAUUUCUUUGUGUGUGAAUUAGCAAAUUAAUGAUGAAAAUGAUGACUCUCUUUCAAAUAUUCCUUCUUAUAUUCAGAAAUGGUUGGUCAAAGAAUGCCACUAAACGUUAAUUAAAAUUCAUUAUACCCCCUGUAGAGAAACUUCUAAAUGAAAUCACACUAAAUAAUAAGUCAUGUCUUUUAAAACUCACUGGAUAUGCAUGCUGCAUGCAGAGAGAAUAAGGUCAAGUCAAUAUCUCACAAUUGUUUCUCACUCUUUUUAGGGAUUAUACUAAUUGAUCUCCAUAGUUAAUAGUGGAAUACUGUAUUUAUAUCAACAUUAGAAAAGAUUAUACGUUUCCAUCAAGAGGUGGGGUUUCUUUCCCUACUUCUUCAGUUGGGUUUGGUCUUAAUGAAUGUGCCAUUUAUGGUGAGUCCAUGCUUCAAAGGGUCUGCUGUGUUUCCUUUCUCUCUCUCGAACUGAGCCAAGCCCCCAUGAGAAAAUGCUGGGUUAGUCUGCUGAAAGAACACAUUUGAAAGUGGGGAGCUGCUUGGCUGAGCCCUUCCUACAUUAGCUACUCCCGAGCCAAGUUGGCACUAGUUGCAGACAUAAACACAAUCAAGAGACAGCCAGCCUGUCCCAGACCAGAAGAAUUGCCUAGCUAAAUCCAAUCUAGAUGGCCAGAUUGAAUAAUUCUGAACAAAAUAAAUAGUUGUCUUAAGCCACUAAAUUUGGGGUGAUUUGGAGCAAUAGAUAAUUGACAUAACUUGGUAGUGUUUUUGUUUGUUUUUUGUUUGUUUUUCUGGUGGGAAAGGAAGGGCUUACGUUGCUCUAGGCAUCAGUGCUCUUACUCUCUAUUAAUACCAUUGACAGAAUGCAAUACAUGGUGUGGGGGUGACAGUUCUUGAAAAAACUGGCUGAAUUCAGACGAUGUUUUUGGAACACUUCCCAACAGUCCUCAUAAGGAAUGUAACAACAAAGUUAAGAUAUCUGUACUGAUCUGUUAGAAGUUUUAAAAUCUGUUUUGAGUGCCAACUGGAAUUGUUCCCACUAAGCAAAACAGUUAAUCAUUACAUCGUAUAGUUUGUGGUUGUUUGGUUCUUUUUAUCAUCUUACUGAAUUACAGCCCAAGAAACAGAAAAAAAAAAUGAUCUUUUUUCCAUUACAAUUAAAUAUAGAGAACAGAGAGAGUAAAUGAUUGUAUAUUGUAGAGUUACUAUCUCAAGACCUCUCAGUCCAUCUAAUUACACUGUUUCUUGAGAGAAGUGUUCUAAGAAAAUACAUUUUUUUAGCAUAUUCAAGGGAGACUUCCCCUGAAAAGCACAGUGCUUGAUGUUUAUCAACAAAGAAAAAUUAGAUUUCUGCACUCGAAAAUCUGUCAUUAAAUAAAAAGGGGAGGGAACAAUACAACGAAAUUAAUAUAACCCUUAGAAUCUUAUAAACUUUGCAGAAGAUGGUGAUAUAUCACACACAUGUGAUUUUUUUUUGUUCUUAUUUCAAUGUAAUCCCUGCUGUUUUCUAUCUUAACUCUAUGUAUGACCUAAACCUCAAUAUUUAGAUAAUUUUUUACUCUUAUUUGGGACUUUAUUCUUGUAAUAUUUCAGUAUCUACUCAUCAGGGGUAAGAACCAGUCACCUUCCAAGGACAACUUCAAUUGAACACCUUGCAGGCACUUGACAAUUAACAUAAGGAUGGAUUUGCUUCAAUCUAUGCUCCAAACAUUUGCAUUUGCCCUUUCUCCAUUGUUCUUCCCUUACUUUCAUUUCCUUGAGUAAACAACAAUAUGAAGGUCAUAAAACCAAACAAAAUAGGUAAAUCAGCUUUUUUCCCUCAUUUUUUAAUUCUAGUAAUGAAAAAGAUGUGAACUACUUGUUUUAGAAAGUUCACUCUAAAGAUGUAUUUAUAACGUAGGUUCUGUCUACUUAAAAAAAGUGAGUAAUUGAGCCAAUAUUGAUCUUCUUGACUUAUUCUACUCAAAAGUCUUCAUUAAAUGUCUAAUAUGAGUAAGUCAUCAUGUUAGGUGCUGAGGGAUAGCAAAGAGAAGUUUAUACUCUAUGUUCAAACCAAGCAUAUGAGAAGUAAAUUAAAAUAUAUCAUUUUAACUUCUUUUUCAUUUAAUACAUUUAGAAUAUAGGGUAUGAAAUUAAUUGUAUAGUUUAUAAUUUUUUAAAAAUUUUAUUCUUUAUGUAUAAUAUACUGUUAAAAAAUACUGCUUUGCUCUGAUUCCCUAGCCUGGAAACUUCCAUAGGCCAUAGGUGUGGCCCUAAAAACCAAAAAAAACCCAAAAAACAAACAAACAAAAAAACCUGCUUUGCUAUGUAAACAAAGAAUGUUGUUGGAUGUUCCAAUUCUACAGAGAUUUAGCCAUUAGUCAUUGCAGUUGCCCACAAACACUGCCUGAGGGAAAUUCAGGAUAGAGAAAACCAGCAAAUCAUUCUGUACUUUGGACACUGGCCCUAGAUAAUUAAGAUGAAUAUUUCAAGGAUAAUAUCAAUGAACCCAGAUUCUUGCAUCUUUCCGUGCAAAGUAAAGCAUCAAAAUCAUUAACUUGAGAUGUCUAUUCUUUGUGAUUAACAAAAUCUUGUUAUGUUCAACAAGUUUUUCCCCAGGGGAAAAAAAAACAAAACAAAAAACUUAUAAAUAUCCUGGCUCCUCCCUUGCUUCUCUGGAGCAGUUACUCAGAGCUGUCUGAUAGGAUAUCUCCCAUUCUAUAGUCCUCAGUAAUGUCCCUUAAUGAAACUUGCAAUCUUUACACUGUGCAUUAUUUUUAAUCAGUUGACAGUUUUAAAUGUUUUUGUUUUUGUUUAUCUUGUCUAACUACGUCAUACUCUUUACAUGAUAUAACAUAUCAUACUAUAUACUCUUUAUGGGUAUAUAAUGCAAAGUUGGUAAAUAUUCUAUGCAAUAUUUACCAUAUGCAUUAUGGGUUGGAGGGAAGCUCCAGGGUUAGGCUCUAAUGGCAUUUAUUUAACCUGGCUCAUUUGAUUCAAAUUGCCAGACAACAGUUCUAAUUAAGUCAGUGUAAGGCAAUUCUUUAACAAAAUAAAUUAUUUUAGCAAUGGGCAUGUGACCUAAUCUUGGCAAUAAAAUUUAAAAAGAGAUUUUCUUCAGGAUUCUAAGAGCAGUAGUUUCUUGCCUUUCUAAGAAAACUACAAAAAGCUUAUCCUUUCUCUCCUUUUAGGGCAUAGGGUAUGGAUAUGGAAUCUGUAAAUACUACAUUUAUUUCCUACCAUAAGGAAAAUCAGCCUUGAUAUGGUACCACGAAAGAUAGAACUUGGAGACAGAAAGAACUUUAUUCCUUGAUAAUAUGAUAGAGAUGCUGAGUCAAAUCUAAAAUCUGUUCUUUCUCUUAACUUUCAGUUAUGUGAGUCCACUAUUCUUUAAGUCAAUUUGAGUAGAGUUUUUGCUGUUUUGAAUCAAAUGCAUCCACAUAAACAAUCUUAUUGAUUAAAUAGUAUUUAAAACAUAUACGUAACUUCUGUAAUAACUAUAGAUAUGAUUGUAUUUGAUGAAAAGGAUUCAGAUAAUUCAUUCAGUUGACAUUUGAAAAUGACUAUCUUAAGGUGAAAAAGGCAUGGUUUCUCUUGAGUAGCAGUAUAUUAUUCAAAAUGAUUUGAAAACUUAAAAAUCAACAAAACAUUAAAAUGUUGGCUAAAAGAAAUUUUAGCUAAAAGAAAAAUAAUUACCAAGUAAAUUGAUUGACCUGUUGAAUCCAUGAAUGUUGCUCAAGGAGGUUGAAGGUAUUUAACGAAGGAGUGUCUUAAUAUAAAAUUAUUCACAAACACUGGAAAGAUUAGCUUACACAUUUUACAGAAUUGUUAUACAUGUUACUAAUCAUUCACUUUGAAAGUGUGACAAUAAGUAGAAUUCUUGGUGCUAUUCCUUAGCUGAGUAAAUUUGCUCACAAUUUAUUGGUGCAUUACUAUCUGAAACUAUUUUUGCUAACAUGGAAAUAAAAAUGCUAUGGUAUAUACCAGUAAACAAAUGGAUCCACAUAUCAUUUACUAUGCAAUUUUUUAAAAUAAAACAAUCUGAUUCUGAAAUACUAUUACAUUUUUCAAAAUACAAGUACCAGAUAGGCAAAUUUCUAUUGAUUGCAUUGUAGUUGAUCAUAAAAAAAAAAAAAUCCAGACUGUAAUUAAAUAACAGCAAUGUCAGUCCCUUGCUUUGGAAACUCUAAAAGAAGAUGCAUUAGAUGGGAACUCUAAUAGAAGAUGUAUUCUCACCCAUGUGUGUCAGAGGGUUGAAGAGUCCACAGAUAUCUGACCCAAAGAAGGGUGUACAUUUAGUUGUGCUAGUCAAAACUAAUUAUACAUAGCUUAAGAAAAAACACAUAUUUAUUGAACAUAUGUACAUAUGUAAAUAUACUACUACAUAUCUAUGAAAUAGUUUACAGAGAUGAAAAGCAUUAAGAACCAGGCAGUAACCAAGGGAAGCUAAGUAUCCUAGAGUACCCCCAAGACUCUGCUAUAGCCACAUGUUUAGGACAUUGAUGUUUCAGACACUCCCACUGCCACCACUUCAUUGAGAAUUCUUCUCACCAUGAUGGCACUGCUGUCUCUUCACAUUUGCUCUGCCAUUGCCAGAAUCUUGAUCCACAACUAGCCUGAAUACUCCUGAACUGCCCCUCCAUCUUUGCCUCACUUCUUUGGGAUAUCAGGUCCUGGAAAAGCUCACCCAAUUGACUGAAACCAGGUCAUAUU
RNAcentral lists this long non-coding RNA (5859 nucleotides) under Sus scrofa (pig). RNAcentral describes it as "lncRNA (ENSSSCG00055019327.1)". The record is from RNAcentral. Lineage: Eukaryota; Metazoa; Chordata; Mammalia; Artiodactyla; Suidae.